RNAcentral lists this ribosomal RNA (319 nucleotides) under uncultured soil bacterium. RNAcentral describes it as "bacterial SSU rRNA". It matches the Rfam family "Bacterial small subunit ribosomal RNA", at positions 26 to 337 of the family's 1533-position model. The record is from RNAcentral.
AGAGUGAACGCUGGCGGUAGGCCUAACACAUGCAAGUCGAACGGCAGCGCGGUAAGAGCUUGCUCUUAUGGGUGGCGAGUGGCGGACGGGUGAGGAAUACAUCGGAAUCUACCUUUUGGUGGGGGAUAACGUAGGGAAACUUACGCUAAUACCGCAUACGCCCUUCGGGGGAAAGCCGGGGACCAGCAAUGGCCUGGUGCUGAUAGAUGAGCCGAUGUCGGAUUAGCUAGUUGGUGAGGUAAUGGCUCACCAAGGCGACGAUCCGUAGCUGGUCUGAGAGGAUGAUCAGCCACACUGGAACUGAGACACGGUCCAGACU